GAAACGUGAUGAUCAAGAAGAAGCUGCUAACUUCAAUCUUUAGCGGUUUAAUUCCGUUUACAUUUCU
RNAcentral lists this transfer RNA (67 nucleotides) under Gryllotalpa henana. RNAcentral describes it as "tRNA-Ser". Lineage: Eukaryota; Metazoa; Arthropoda; Insecta; Orthoptera; Gryllotalpidae. The record is from RNAcentral.